GGCCCUAUCGUCUAAUGGUCAGGACAGCGCCUUUUCAAGGCGUUAAUCCGGGUUCGAUUCCCGGUAGGGUCA
This is a non-coding RNA of Candidatus Kaiserbacteria bacterium, 72 nucleotides long. Lineage: Bacteria; Candidatus Kaiseribacteriota. The record is from Rfam.